Molecule: long non-coding RNA, 302 nt
Filed under: Phoenix dactylifera (date palm)
Lineage: Eukaryota; Viridiplantae; Streptophyta; Magnoliopsida; Arecales; Arecaceae
Description: long non-coding RNA (PDAC_LNC017358)
Source: RNAcentral
AUCUUCCAUAGUAUUGGAGUGAGCUAAGAAGAUUUCAUAAUAUUGAAAGGAACGUUCUUCGAAGUUGAAAAUGCAUGUGGAUUAUAUCUGAUAUUGGCAUGUUGGAUACUGCAAAUAGGUCUAUUUCCUAUUGAUGUAUUUGAUUAUUUUGAGGCCAUAGAGUAUGCAUAUUGAUGGAGGAAUUCUAAUUAUUUGAAUUCUCAUAUUUGGAUUGGGCUACUGAAUUUUUCUUAUAAUUGUUGGAGAUUAUUGGGUGUGUUAACUUGAAAUCUUUGUCAUUGUAAAAUACAAAAUUGAGUAGA